CUCGCGCACGCCAGAAGCAGCUCGGGGUCUCUCCGCCGCCCCUUGGCCAUGGCCGCUGUGCCGACGGCGCCCGCUCCCCUGCGCUCCAGGGGCCCCCGCCGCUGCAGCCGCAGCCGCCGCAGCUUCUGAGCCCAAGGGGCCGCCGCUGCAGCCGCCGCCGCCGCCGCUCGCCCGCCCGGAUCCCGCCUGCGGCAGUUGCCGCACAACAUGCUACCUGCGGCCGCCCCGGCGGCUCCUGGAACCCCGGUUCGCGGCGAUGCCAGCCACCCCAGCGAAGCCGCCGCAGUUCAGUGCUUGGAUAAUUUGAAAGUACAAUAGUUGGUUUCCCUGUCCACCCGCCCCACUUCGCUUGCCAUCACAGCACGCCUAUCGGAUGUGAGAGGAGAAGUCCCGCUGCUCGGGCACUGUCUAUAUACGCCUAACACCUACAUAUAUUUUAAAAACAUUAAAUAUAAUUAACAAUCAAAAGAAAGAGGAGAAAGGAAGGGAAGCAUUACUGGGUUACUAUGCACUUGCGACUGAUUUCUUGGCUUUUUAUCAUUUUGAACUUUAUGGAAUACAUCGGCAGCCAAAACGCCUCCCGGGGAAGGCGCCAGCGAAGAAAAUGCAAAGCUGACUGUGAUACCUGUUUCAACAAAAAUUUCUGCACAAAAUGUAAAAGUGGAUUUUACUUACACCUUGGAAAGUGCCUUGACAAUUGCCCAGAAGGGUUGGAAGCCAACAACCAUACUAUGGAGUGUGUCAGUAUUGUGCACUGUGAGGUCAGUGAAUGGAAUCCUUGGAGUCCAUGCACGAAGAAGGGAAAAACAUGUGGCUUCAAAAGAGGGACUGAAACACGGGUCCGAGAAAUAAUACAGCAUCCUUCAGCAAAGGGUAACCUGUGUCCCCCAACAAAUGAGACAAGAAAGUGUACAGUGCAAAGGAAGAAGUGUCAGAAGGGAGAACG
Molecule: long non-coding RNA, 946 nt
Filed under: Homo sapiens (human)
Lineage: Eukaryota; Metazoa; Chordata; Mammalia; Primates; Hominidae
Description: HSALNT0112971
Source: RNAcentral